CUGUCUCCUGCCUCGCUCAGCUCCGCCUUCCUCUGGCAGAGUUUCGAGCUGGAUGCGCGCGGGUCCGCAAGGGCCACCGUGUACGAGACCAGAACGAACCCAGCGACCUUUGAGUGCGUACCCUCUCGAUCCAUGUGGAGGAUUGCGCAAUUUGUCGUCUGGGACAGAC
Molecule: small nucleolar RNA, 169 nt
Organism: Pseudogymnoascus pannorum
Lineage: Eukaryota; Fungi; Ascomycota; Leotiomycetes; Thelebolales; Thelebolaceae
Source: Rfam